GGCCUGAUGGCUCAGUGGUAGGGUGCGCACAGAAAUUCCCCGUCUCUACCAUAUGUCGGUGCGAGGUGUGAGUUCGACUCUCACUCAGGCCA
This is a non-coding RNA of Mycena crocata, 92 nucleotides long. The record is from the annotation of a GenBank genome assembly. Lineage: Eukaryota; Fungi; Basidiomycota; Agaricomycetes; Agaricales; Mycenaceae.